Molecule: unclassified non-coding RNA, 966 nt
Filed under: Hevea brasiliensis (rubber tree)
Lineage: Eukaryota; Viridiplantae; Streptophyta; Magnoliopsida; Malpighiales; Euphorbiaceae
Source: RNAcentral
AAGAGAAUUUUUAGUGCUAGCAAGGAUUUAAGAGGGAGGCGGCUGAAUGAAAUUGCCAAUUGUAUGCUAGAAAAAUUGGCAAAUAGGUCUAAUCUUUCCGAGGUUUAUAGUAAUAUCAUGGGCUUCUUGAUCGAAAGUGAGUCUUCCAGUUUUGGCAGUGCUUCUGCGUUACCUGAGAAGGAACGUGGAAAUAGAAGCAAUGGGGGGAUUGCUGGGCGUAGCCAGGAUUCUUCAUGGCUUAAAUCUGUUUAUUCAGAAAAAGCUCCCCAGUUAGAAAGAUCAACUAGCCUGCUUCCUAGCUUUCAUACAGAUUUGAACGAUAAACGUCCUGUGGAGUCUGAGAUAGAGAGAAGUGCCCAGAAAGAACCCAUUUUUGAUGAACUAGAGAGCUUAGUGAGAAUUAAACAAGCAGAAGCUAAAAUGUUUCAAGCACGCGCGGAUGAUGCAAGAAGGGAUGCCGAGGGCCUGAAACGAAUUGCAAUUGCAAAGAAUGAAAAAAUUGAAGAAGAAUAUACAAGUAGAAUCAGAAAACUGCGGUUAGUUGAGGCCGAGGAAAUGCGUAAACAAAAAUAUGAAGAAUUCCAGGCUUUGGAAAGGGCUCAUCGGGAAUACUUCAGUAUGAAGAUGAGGAUGGAAGCAGAUGUCAAAGAUCUGUUGUUGAAAAUGGAAGAUACAAAACAUAACCUUGCCAUGUGAUUUGCUAAUGAACAAGGUUUUGCCUGAGAAAAUGUAAUGGAUCCCAGGUAAAUUUACUCCUUAGAAGCUCAAGUUGUGCGCUGUAAUUUUAAUGUAGCAUCAUUGGCGGCCGUUUGCUUCAGCUUUUAAAUUAUAGCUGUAUCUUUUCACCUAGGUUGUUUUUUAACUUUCUUUUCUUUACUGCUAACCUAAUUUGUACAGAGACUCCAAAAUCUUUGUAUUCUAUGAGCAGCUUCCAUUUGUAGAAGCAAUUUCAAAGAGACAUGAUAG